ACGUAAGUAGUUCAACGGGUUAGAGCACGAUCUCUCGGAUAGAAUGAGGUGUGGGUUCGAGUCCCGCCUGACGUG
Non-coding RNA from Parelaphostrongylus tenuis, 75 nucleotides. The record is from the annotation of a GenBank genome assembly. NCBI's taxonomy places the organism in Eukaryota, Metazoa, Nematoda, Chromadorea, Rhabditida, Metastrongylidae.